CAGGAGAAUUCUACAACCUUCCCUGCAAUACACACAAUCGGAGCGUGAAAACGCAGAACAGCUUUUGUCCCAGAGGACUGCAGAAAAGUGGUGUCUCAGGGACAGCAGAGCUUCCCUCUAUGCAAGGAGAAUAGAGGACCUACUCCUAUAUCAUCGGGUGAAGAGAAGUAAAACAGCUCUUUGGAGAAAAACUCAAUUCUCUGACAACAGCUUAUUACACAUGUAUUCUCAUGGAAGGUUUUUGAACAAGAGACAACUCAAAAUAACAAUAAUGACGAUGAUGCACCAUGGCUGAUAUAUUUGGUGCAUCUUCCAAUUAAAUCACAUAGACAGUGUUUUCCCUGUUUCCUUUAAUGUCUGGUCUUGGAAAAGAAUCACAUAUCUACUUUGGGGUUCUGAAUAUGAGCAAAUAUACUUCCACAUGACUCCUCGAGGGCAGAAUCAACUUGUUUUAGGAGACACAGGUGAAUUCAUAUGAGAUCAAAUAUUUUUGCC
Molecule: long non-coding RNA, 495 nt
Organism: Microcebus murinus (gray mouse lemur)
Lineage: Eukaryota; Metazoa; Chordata; Mammalia; Primates; Cheirogaleidae
Source: Ensembl